Molecule: ribosomal RNA, 1801 nt
Filed under: Rhipicephalus microplus (southern cattle tick)
Lineage: Eukaryota; Metazoa; Arthropoda; Arachnida; Ixodida; Ixodidae
Description: SSU rRNA
Rfam family: Eukaryotic small subunit ribosomal RNA
Source: RNAcentral
CCUGGUUGAUCCUGCCAGUAAUCAUAUGCUUGUCUCAAAGAUUAAGCCAUGCAUGUCUAAGAAGUACAUGCCGAAAUGAAGGCGAAAACCUGCGAAUGGCUGAUUAAAUCAGUUAUGGUUCCUUAGAUCGUUUCUUCCUACUUGGAUAACUGUGGCAAUUCUAGAGCUAAUACAUGCAGUGAGCCUGGAGCCCUUUGGGUAACGGGUGCUUUUAUUAGACCAAGAUCGAUCGGGUUUCGGCCCGUAUUGUGUGGUGACUAUGGAUAACUUUGUGGUGAUCGCAUGCCGGCGACGUUUCUUUCAAGUGUCUGCCUUAUCAACUUUCGAUGGUAGGUUACUUGCUUACCAUGGUUGUUACGGGUAACGGAGAAUCAGGGUUCGAUUCCGGAGAGGGAGCCUGAGAAACGGCUACCACAUCCAAGGAAGGCAGCAGGCGCGCAAAUUACCCACUCCCGGCACGGGGAGGUAGUGACGAAAAAUAACAAUACGGGACUCUUUUGAGGCCCCGUAAUUGAAAUGAGUACACUCUAAAUCCUUUAACGAGGAUCAAUUGGAGGGCAAGUCUGGUGCCAGCAGCCGCGGUAAUUCCAGCUCCAAUAGCGUAUACUAAAGCUGCUGCGGUUAAAAAGCUCGUAGUUGGAUCUCAGUUCCAGACUAGUAGUGCAUCUACCCGAUGCGACGGCUCGGACUGAACAUCAUGCCGGUUCUUUCUUGGUGCACUUCAUUGUGUGCCUCGAGAUGGCCGGUGCUUUUACUUUGAAAAAAUUAGAGUGCUCAACGCAGGCGAGUCGCCUGAAUAAACUUGCAUGGAAUAAUAGAACAAGACCUCGUUUCUGUUCUGUUGGUUUUUGGAAUACGAGGUAAUGAUUAAGAGGGACGGACGUGCAGGGGGCAUUCGUAUUGCGGCGCUAGAGGUGAAAUUCUUGGACCGUCGCAAGACGAACUACUGCGAAAGCAUUUGCCAAGAAUGUUUUCAUUGAUCAAGAACGAAAGUCAGAGGUUCGAAGGCGAUCAGAUACCGCCCUAGUUCUGACCAUAAACGAUGCCAACCAGCGAUCCGCCUGAGUUACUCAAAUGACUCGGCGGGCAGCUUCCGGGAAACCAAAGUAUUUGGGUUCCGGGGGAAGUAUGGUUGCAAAGCUGAAACUUAAAGGAAUUGACGGAAGGGCACCACCAGGAGUGGAGCCUGCGGCUUAAUUUGACUCAACACGGGAAAACUUACCCGGCCCGGACACUGGGAGGAUUGACAGAUUGAGAGCUCUUUCUUGAUUCGGUGGAUGGUGGUGCAUGGCCGUUCUUAGUUGGUGGAGCGAUUUGUCUGGUUAAUUCCGAUAACGAACGAGACUCUAGCCUAUUAAAUAGGUGCGGGGUUGGUUCCCAGCGCCUUACAACCUUCUUAGAGGGACACAAGCGGCUACUGCGCGAAACAGCAAUAACAGGUCUGUGAUGCCCUUAGAUGUCCGGGGCCGCACGCGCGCUACACUGAAGGAAGCAGCGUGUCUUUAUCCCUGUCUGAAAAGACUGGGUAACCCGUGGAACUUCUUUCGUGUGAUUGGGAUAGGGGCUUGCAAUUGUUCCCCUUGAACGAGGAAUUCCCAGUAAGCGCGAGUCAUAAGCUCGCGUUGAUUACGUCCCUGCCCUUUGUACGUCGCUACUACCGAUUGAAUGAUUUAGUGAGGUCUUCGGACCGAUGUCCGGCGCGGCCUUUCGGUUGCGCCGGUCUGUUGGAAAGAUGACCAAACUUGCUCAUUUAGAGGAAGUAAAAGUCGUAACAAGGUUUCCGUCGGUGAACCUGCGGAAG